RNAcentral lists this ribosomal RNA (492 nucleotides) under uncultured Alteromonas sp. Its description in RNAcentral is "bacterial SSU rRNA". It matches the Rfam family "Bacterial small subunit ribosomal RNA", at positions 329 to 813 of the family's 1533-position model. The record is from RNAcentral. Lineage: Bacteria; Pseudomonadati; Pseudomonadota; Gammaproteobacteria; Alteromonadales; Alteromonadaceae.
CACGGGGGGCCUACGGGAGGCAGCAGUGGGGAAUAUUGCACAAUGGGGGAAACCCUGAUGCAGCCAUGCCGCGUGUGUGAAGAAGGCCUUCGGGUUGUAAAGCACUUUCAGUUGUGAGGAAAGGUUGGUAGUUAAUACCUGCCAGCUGUGACGUUAACAACAGAAGAAGCACCGGCUAACUCCGUGCCAGCAGCCGCGGUAAUACGGAGGGUGCGAGCGUUAAUCGGAAUUACUGGGCGUAAAGCGCACGCAGGCGGCUUGUUAAGCUAGAGGUGAAAGCCCCGCGCUCAACGUGGGAACUGCCUUUAGAACUGGCAGGCUAGAGUCUUGGAGAGGGGAGUGGAAUUCCAGGUGUAGCGGUGAAAUGCGUAGAUAUCUGGAGGAACAUCAGUGGCGAAGGCGGCUCCCUGGCCAAAGACUGACGCUCAUGUGCGAAAGUGUGGGUAGCGAACAGGAUUAGAUACCCUGGUAGUCCACACCGUAAACGCUGUC